This is a non-coding RNA of Schizosaccharomyces pombe (fission yeast), 740 nucleotides long. Lineage: Eukaryota; Fungi; Ascomycota; Schizosaccharomycetes; Schizosaccharomycetales; Schizosaccharomycetaceae. The record is from the annotation of a GenBank genome assembly.
GAGAAGGCUCCCAUUGCAUAAUUCGCUUGCCAAAAAUAGUUUUUGACUUUGGAGCAUCAGCCGGACCUAUAACUUGAGAAACGUAAAGUUUUUGAUUAAGUGUGAUCUCCUUUUUGGGCAUUCGUUUACAAUGGACGGGAACGUAAUGUCUCUGUCUUUUACUAUCGAUCUCACCACGAUCAAUCAAGUUCAGUAGAGAUCGAUCAUCAUCUCUUCCGGCCAAUUUUUCCGUGUUUGGUGAAUUCGUCUCGGCAUACGUAGUAGAGUCUCGGGGUGUGUUAACUAAGCUAGAAUUGUCAUCAUUAUAUUCGGUGUUCAUACCAGUGUCGUUUUCUACAUCUUCAUCUUGUUGAAUUGUUAAAGGUCUGAAGGGUCUUUUUUGAGAUCUUGUGGAUAAUCCACGUACAGGGGUGGCAGGCGGAUGUUCAUCGUCUGUUUCUAGUUUGUAGGCAUCAUUGCCUGUACCAGAAUCACUGCCGUUCACAGACACUUCUCUAGAAUGUACUGACACAUUAUCUUCUCUUCCGGUCUCAGCAACCAAAACGCGCAUCUCCAAUGCAACUUCUUUUUAAGGUAUUAUUUUAUAUGAAAGUUUCCAAACAAUACCCAAAUUAAUUCAAAUAGGGAGGUCUUGAAAAUGCAAACAAAGCGGAAUUAGGAAAUUAAAGAAUAGGGAAGAACGAAAUAGGAGGGAUAUAAAAACGCAAAGUAGAUUGGGCAAUCGAAUAAUAUCAAUGAUG